Molecule: long non-coding RNA, 417 nt
Organism: Dermacentor andersoni
Lineage: Eukaryota; Metazoa; Arthropoda; Arachnida; Ixodida; Ixodidae
Source: RefSeq, a predicted model, not a curated record
UAGAGGAAACGCCAGUUCACGGGAUUGGCCAGUCGUUUCAGCGGGUGCGAGAGAGAAAAUCUGGGGGCGUUUGCGCCUGAAAUUUCUCCCUUUGCCUAGGUACUACGGAGGAGAAGCCGAUUUGCUUGUUCCGUAUGCGUUUGUCCCUAGGCGCGCAUUUUGCCGUGUGUCGGCUGGCGAUCCUUCAAAUCAAUGUCUCCUUUCUUGACGAAGCCGUGCGUGCCGUGCGUCGUGCAUAAGUGUUCCUCCUGCGUCUCCUUGGAUGUUGCCGGGUCUCCUGGAAAUUCAUCCACAGCUGGAAACCAAAAUUGUGCUUCAUCCCAGACCACAGCUUAUCUCCACAUCAAAGCCUCAUAUCACCAUUACAUCUCCAGUCUCACUCACGUUCACUCUGGAAAAAAAAAAAAAAAAAAAGAA